Molecule: non-coding RNA, 1073 nt
Organism: Tetranychus urticae (two-spotted spider mite)
Lineage: Eukaryota; Metazoa; Arthropoda; Arachnida; Trombidiformes; Tetranychidae
Source: RefSeq, a predicted model, not a curated record
GCGGAACUCGUUUUAUAAAAGCCACCAAUGAAGUAAGCAAAGGACCAAUUCCGAUGAGACCAAUAAGUGAGAUGAUUCCUUGUCUUGGAUUAAUAACAAGCCAUUUUAACGAAUAAAACUAUUUCAACUAAUCAUAUGGUGGAGAACGUUACAUACGAAAUGUGUGAGGAAUAAAAGCCGAUGAUAAAUAAAUAUGACCAAGAAGAGCGAGCACACGUAAGGAAACCCUUGCACAGUGAAUAAAAAGCAGAUCUUGAGGCUCGCCAUCAUCACCACAUGGAAUCAACUUUUUGGUGUUUUCAAUAAUUGAAAAAGAAGCCAAAACCGGUGAAACAUUAUCAGGAUAAAUGUGAGUCACCAAGGUUGAACUCAGCACAAAAAGUGUUAAUAUUGUGAAGAUGAUCCUGAAAUUGGCAAAAUAUCAGUAAACUCUAAUACAUUGCAAUAAUCUAUCAAUAUAUUUACAGAUUUAACCUUUAAUUGCAUGUACCUUCUAAUACUCAUUAGACAAUAUCUUACAUAAUUAUACACUGUACAUCACAAUUGACUUAUCAAUAAUAGACUUAUACUGACUUUACUUACAAGCGAUUUCUUGAUAUUUGAUUGAACGCGGACCAUCCGUAAUAUAAUUUUUUUCACAAGAACUUACUUUCGGUGUGAUACGAGUUCCCUGAAAAGCUUAUUUAAAUGAUGAUCAAAAGGUAUUAGCGUAAUUAAAGGGGUUUAAGUUGUUAAACCUAGUUGGAUGGGCAAUAAUUACCUCUGUUGGUUACUGUUUGUCCACUCAUUUCAAUUUUGAAUUAUUUGGUUUCACUGAUGAGAUUGGCACUUAAAUUGAACUUACAUUUAUAAGCCCAAACUUUACGCUGGUUCAGUCCAUUAUGAAUUUUAUGGAGAUCGCUUAAACACUGCUGCGAAACUGGUAAAUCCCAAUUGCUUGUUAUAUUUUCAACUAACUGACAAACAAUAUCCUUUUGUGGCUACAACAGUUUAUCCAAAGCGUCCGCUGAUGAGAUCCAUUGUUGAACUAGUCCAGGAUCAUUGAGAAUCUGAAGGUUAUCAACCGAUGAAAU